GCCGGGCGCAGUGGCACGUGCCUGUAGUCCCAGCUACUCAGGAGGCUGAGGUGGAAGGAACUCUUGAGCCCAGGAGUUCUGGGCUGUAGUGCACUAUGCCGAUCGGGUAUCCGCACUAAGUUUGGCAUCAAUAUGGUGACCUCCUGGGAGCAGGGGACCAUCAGGUUGCCUAAGAAGGGGUGAACCGGCCCAGGUCGGAAACGGAGCAGGCCAAAAGCCCCGUGCUGAUCAGUAGUGGGAUCACUCCUGUGAAUAGCCACUGCACUCCAGCCUGGGCAACAUAGGGAGACCCUGUCUCUU
This is an unclassified non-coding RNA of Callithrix jacchus (white-tufted-ear marmoset), 300 nucleotides long. It matches the Rfam family "Metazoan signal recognition particle RNA". Rfam says of the family: The signal recognition particle (SRP) is a universally conserved ribonucleoprotein. It is involved in the co-translational targeting of proteins to membranes. Lineage: Eukaryota; Metazoa; Chordata; Mammalia; Primates; Cebidae. The record is from Ensembl.